GGACUACAAGGGUUUCUAAUCCUGUUUGCUCCCCACGCUUUCGCGCCUCAGCGUCAAUACCAGUCCAGUUGGCCGCCUUCGCCACCGGUGUUCUUCCCAAUCUCUACGAAUUUCACCUCUACACUGGGAAUUCCACCAACCUCUCCUGGAUUCUAGCGCGCCAGUAUCAAGCGCAGUUCCCGGGUUGAGCCCAGGGCUUUCACGCCUAACUUAACGCACCGCCUACGCGCCCUUUACGCCCAGUAAUUCCGAACAACGCUUGCCCCCUUCGUAUUACCGCGGCUGCUGGCAC
Molecule: ribosomal RNA, 292 nt
Filed under: uncultured bacterium
Lineage: Bacteria
Description: partial 16S ribosomal RNA
Source: RNAcentral